GACGAACGCUGGCGGCGUGCUUAACACAUGCAAGUCGAACGGAAAGGCCCUGCUUGCAGGGUACUCGAGUGGCGAACGGGUGAGUAACACGUGGGUGAUCUGCCCUGCACUUCGGGAUAAGCCUGGGAAACUGGGUCUAAUACCGGAUAGGAGCCAUUUUUAGUGUGAUGGUUGGAAAGUUUUUUCGGUGUAGGAUGAGCUCGCGGCCUAUCAGCUUGUUGGUGGGGUAAUGGCCUACCAAGGCGGCGACGGGUAGCCGGCCUGAGAGGGUGGACGGCCACACUGGGACUGAGAGACGGCAGAGACACCGACGGGAGGCAGAAGGGGGGAAGACUGCACGAUGGGCGCCGGCCUGAUGCAGAGGCGCCGCGUGGGGGAUAACGGUCUUCGGGUUGUAGACUAAAUGCGCUAGGGACGAAGCUUGUUGUGACGGUACCUAGAUAAGAAGCACCGGCUAACUACGUG
This 465-nucleotide ribosomal RNA is filed under the name uncultured bacterium. RNAcentral's name for it is "partial 16S ribosomal RNA". It matches the Rfam family "Bacterial small subunit ribosomal RNA", at positions 28 to 507 of the family's 1533-position model. The record is from RNAcentral.